UGUUGUCCACAGGAGCUGCUUCUCUUUGUUCCUCAUAAAGGGUUCACUGUGAUGUAGAUACCACCCACCCUGGCAGGCUACCUGCAUGGGAGGCUGCGAGGGGAUUCACUCUCCUGGGUCUCAUGUCUGGUCAUCAUGGAGGCAAGGUCUCUCAUUAGAGCUCCUGAGCCUUGACCACCCAAAGACUUGUAUUCUGUACAGAAUCUGUGGCCACAACACUAGUGACUCGGAUGCCCCUCUUCAGGGACUUCAAUCCACGCAUACCCGUGACUGCUGCACUCAGAACUUAACGUUGGUAUCCUGCCAAGGCCAAGCUCUGUACUGGCAGUUCCUGACCCAGAACUGAGCACACACAUAAAAGAUAAGACUGCAGGGCCACCGCUUUUGCCUCUUCCUCCUCCUCCUCACAGUGUCCCCAGCCCCAAACCUGUGGUAUGUCUUCCGCUGUCUUGAUAUUUCCUUCUCGAGGCAGUUAAUGGGUGCGCCUGGCUCCAGACGGCUUGGUGAGAACACAAAGAAAACUCCU
Molecule: long non-coding RNA, 526 nt
Organism: Mastomys coucha (southern multimammate mouse)
Lineage: Eukaryota; Metazoa; Chordata; Mammalia; Rodentia; Muridae
Exons: 2
Source: RefSeq, a predicted model, not a curated record